UUGAAAGCCCUUGCUAUGAAAUUUUACACACACAUAUUAAAAGUUAUAGAAUGUUAUAUAGCGUGUAACAGCGCAAAUAAAUAUACAACUUUCAGCAACGGAUCUCUUGGCUCUCGCAUCGAUGAAGAACGCAGCGAAAUGCGAUAAGUAAUGUGAAUUGCAGAAUUCAGUGAAUCAUCGAAUCUUUGAACGCACCUUGCGCUCCUUGGUAUUCUGAGGAGCAUGCCUGUUUGAGUGUCAUGAAAUUCUCAACUGCUUCAACUUUUGUGGUUGAAGUGAAGUUGGACUUGGAGGAAUCAUUGCUGGCGUGACCUUUUAGGUUGCUUGUUAGCUCCUCUUAAAUGGAUGAACUUUCCAUUUACAAAGUAACAUCAAUGUGAUAAUUAUCUACGUUGGAUGAGUUUGUACAAGGAAAGGUAUAUCUUGGAGUUCAAAUCCUUGAUGAAACAAAUGACAAAUUUGACCUCAAAUCAGGUAGGACUACCCGCUGAACUUAAGCAUAUCAAUAAGCGGAGGAA
RNAcentral lists this ribosomal RNA (518 nucleotides) under uncultured Pseudotomentella. Its description in RNAcentral is "eukaryotic LSU rRNA". The stretch from base 87 to 240 matches the Rfam family "5.8S ribosomal RNA". Lineage: Eukaryota; Fungi; Basidiomycota; Agaricomycetes; Thelephorales; Thelephoraceae. The record is from RNAcentral.